UACGUAGGGGGCAAGCGUUGUCCGGAUUUAUUGGGCGUAAAGAGCGUGUAGGCGGCCAGAUAGGUCAGCUGUGAAAACCUCGAGGCUCAACCUCGAGACGUCGGUUGAAACCAUCUGGCUAGAGUCCGGAAGAGGAGAGUGGAAUUCCCGGUGUAGCGGUGAAAUGCGCAGAUAUCGGGAAGAACACCCGUGGCGAAGGCGGCUCUCUGGGACGGUACUGACGCUGAGACGCGAAAGCGUUGGGGAGCGAACAGG
RNAcentral lists this ribosomal RNA (255 nucleotides) under uncultured bacterium. RNAcentral describes it as "partial 16S ribosomal RNA". It matches the Rfam family "Bacterial small subunit ribosomal RNA", at positions 524 to 776 of the family's 1533-position model. The record is from RNAcentral.